This 468-nucleotide ribosomal RNA is filed under the name uncultured bacterium. RNAcentral's name for it is "partial 16S ribosomal RNA". It matches the Rfam family "Bacterial small subunit ribosomal RNA", at positions 28 to 507 of the family's 1533-position model. The record is from RNAcentral.
GAUGAACGCUGGCGGCGUGCUUAACACAUGCAAGUCGAACGGAAAGGCCCUGCUUUUGUGGGGUGCUCGAGUGCCGAACGCGUGAGUAUCACGCGAGUAACCCCCCCUUGACUUUGGGAUAACUCCACGAAACUGGGGCGCAUACAGGAUAUGAGCUUCUGCUCCGCGGGGGGGGUUGGAAAUAUUCGGUGGUUGGGGAUGGACUCGCGGGUUAUCAGCUUCUUGGUGGGGUAGUGGCUUACCAAGCCUUUGACGGGUAGCCGGCCUGAGAGGGUGACCGGCCACCUUGGGACUGAGGGACGGCCCAGACUCCAACGGGGGGCAGCAGUGGGGAAUAUUGAACAAUGGGGGGAAGCCUGGUGCAGCAACGCCGCGUGCGGAAUAACCGCCUUCGGGUGGUAACCCGCUUUCUCCUGAGACGUAGCGAGAGUGACGGUAACGGGUAAAGAAGCACCGGCUAACUACGUG